GCCCUCAUUGGGGGGUGGGGGGGGGUCCCUUUAAUUAGUAGAGGACCAUUAAUGAUGUGUGCCCUCAUUGGGGGGGGGAGGUCCACUUAAUUGAGGGGGGACCAUUAAUUAAUGGGAGGGCCCUUAAUGAUGUGUGCCCUCAUUAUGGGGGGGUCCCCUUAAUUAGUGGGGGGACCCUUAAUGAUGUGUGCUCUCAUUUUGGGGGGUCCCCGUAAUUAAUGGGGGGAACAUUAAUGAAGAAAGCUCUCAUUGUGGGGGGGUCCCCUUAAUUAAUGGGGGGACCCUUAAUGAAGUGAGCCCUCAUUGGGGGGGGGGGGGUUCCCUUAAUUAAUGGGGGAACCCUUAAUUGCGUAUACCCUAAUUAAGAGGGGGGAGUCCCCUUAAUUGGUAGGGGAAACCCUUAAUGAUGGAGGGAGCCUUAACGAUGUGGGGCCGCUAAUUAGGAGGGGGAUCCUCUUAAUUAAUGAGGGGGUCCCCUUAAUGAUGGACAGGCGCUAAUUGCGGAGGGAGGAGCCUUAAUUAAAUAGGGGCCUUAAUUAUGCGGGGGUUCCCCCUAAGAAUGGGGGAUCCCUUUAAUCACGGGGGGACCUUAAUUAGCGGGGGGACCCUUAAUUACGUAGGGGCCUUAAUUACGGGUGGGAGGGGCUUGCCUUAUGUAUGGUGGGGACCUUAAUGAUGGGCGGGGCCUUAAUUAACGAGGGGGCCCUUAAUGAUGGGGGUGACCCCUCGACAGGAAGGGCCUCAUUAAGAAGGGGCCUUAAUUAAUGAAGGGGCCUUAAUUACCAUGGGGUCCCUUUGCUGCUGGAAGGAGGUGGGGGGGGGGGGGGGUCCCUUUAACGAUGCAUCCCCUUAAUUGCAGGUGGGCUUUAAUUACAAAGGGGGGGGGGGGGGGCUAAUUAAGGGCGGUAUCCCCUUCUGUAUGGAGGGACCCCAAUUAAGAAAGGGGCCUUAAUUAGGGCCCCCCCCCCCCUUUUAUUCACUCCCAUCCAUCCCUUCAUCUGCCCCCCCCCAUUCACCCCCCUUUAUUACACCCCAUUAAGCCCCGCCCCUCCCAUUAAGCCCCGCCCACCCAUUAAACCACGCCCCUAUCAAUCACGACCCGUCCCUUAAGCCCCGCCCCCUUUCGCCAUAAGCCCCGCCCGCUUCCUUAAGCCACACCCCUCUCCCUCCCGAAGCUCUUCUCUAAACCGGAAGUCCCGCCCCUUCGCUUCCUCCCCGAUGCCCCUCCCACAGCCACGCCCCCUUUGGCUCCCUCCCUGGCCACGCCCCCUCGUAGAAAGCCCCGCCCACUUCCUUGAGCCACGCUUCUUUCCCUCACCCGCUCUCUCCGUUCCCUAAGCCCCGCCCCCGUGCCCUAAGCCCCGCCUAUCUCCUUUAAGCCACGCCCCUUUGCGCUCAGCUCUUCUAUAAACCGGAAGUCCCGCCCCUUAACUUCCUCCCCGCUGCCCCUCCCACAACCACGCCCCCUUGGCUGUCGCCCCGCCCCCUUUUACCUCUUCCUCCUUGACCACGCCCCCUCGUAGAAGCCCCGCCCACCCUUUAAGCCCCGCCCCCGCGGCCCCCCCUCCCCUUCCGCCGCCGCACCGACACCAAAUAUGGGGCGGCCCCGGGGGGGGCGGGGCCGAACCCCACCGGGGAGGGGGGCGGGGGGGGGGGGGAGGGGUCUGUAAGUGCCUGUGGGGGAGGGGAGGGGCGGGGGGCGGGGC
Molecule: long non-coding RNA, 1706 nt
Filed under: Gallus gallus (chicken)
Lineage: Eukaryota; Metazoa; Chordata; Aves; Galliformes; Phasianidae
Source: RNAcentral